CCUACGGGGGGCAGCAGUAGGGAAUAUUGCGCAAUGGGGGAAACCCUGAAGCAGCAACGCCGCGUGGAGGAUGAAGGUUUUCGGAUUGUAAACUCCUUUUGUUAGAGACGAUAAUGACGGUAUCUAACGAAUAAGAACCGGCUAACUCCGUGCCAGCAGCCGCGGUAAUACGGAGGGUGCAAGAGUUACUCGGAAUCACUGGGCGUAAAGAGCGCGGAGGCGGGAUAGCAAGUCAGAUGUGAAAUACUAUGGCUUAACCAUAGAACUGCAUUUGAAACUGUUGUUCUAGAGUAUGGGAGAGGUAGGUGGAAUUCUUGGUGUAGGGGUAAAAUGCGUAGAGAUUAAGAGGAAUACUCAUGGCGAAGGCGAUCUGCUAGAACAUAACUGACGCUGAUGCGCGAAAGCGUGGGGAGCAAACAGGAUUAGAUACCCCAGUAGUC
This 440-nucleotide ribosomal RNA is filed under the name uncultured bacterium. Its description in RNAcentral is "partial 16S ribosomal RNA". It matches the Rfam family "Bacterial small subunit ribosomal RNA", at positions 338 to 795 of the family's 1533-position model. The record is from RNAcentral.